UACAGAGGUCUCAAGCGUUGUUCGGAUUCAUUGGGCGUAAAGGGUGCGUAGGCGGCGGGGCAAGUCAGGUGUGAAAUCUCGGGGCUCAACCCCGAAACUGCACUUGAUACUGCCUUGCUCGAGUACUGGAGAGGAGACUGGAAUUUACGGUGUAGCAGUGAAAUGCGUAGAUAUCGUAAGGAAGACCAGUGGCGAAGGCGAGUCUCUGGACAGUUACUGACGCUGAGGCACGAAGGCCAGGGGAGCAAACGGG
Molecule: ribosomal RNA, 253 nt
Filed under: uncultured bacterium
Lineage: Bacteria
Description: partial 16S ribosomal RNA
Rfam family: Bacterial small subunit ribosomal RNA
Source: RNAcentral